Molecule: long non-coding RNA, 1458 nt
Organism: Stegastes partitus (bicolor damselfish)
Lineage: Eukaryota; Metazoa; Chordata; Actinopteri; Pomacentridae
Exons: 2
Source: RefSeq, a predicted model, not a curated record
UGACAGAAUGUCACAGAACCAGUUAGUCUUCCAGUUUGUUCCUCAUGCUUUCAGUGUGUCCCUGCACAUAGGAAUUAAAUCAUCACAGAAAUGAGGACUAAAGGCGUCUCGGGGCUGAUCUGUCUCUCGGGGUAGUGGUGCUAUCAGAUCUGCUUCAUCAGAUGCCUCACAUGAUGGAAGAGCAGCCUCUUUAUUUUUAGUGUUGGGUUGAAGCUCAGCUCAGACAACGUUAAGGAAGCAACCGAAGCGUCUGCUCUGACCAACGCUCCGAAGACUCGAGGUAUGGGUGGUUCCUCCUUCAAGAAAAUCUUUUUUUGGAAAAAGAAGAAGAAGACGCCUUUAAAAAAAGCCAUGAAUCAGCUGAAGGGGGCGCUACCCAGUAAGAAACGCAAGCAACUGCAGAAGCAACUGAAAAAACUGAGUCUGGAUAAAGUGAGGAGGGAAAAGCAUUCCAAGAAGAGAUUCUCACUGACAACAGACAAGAAAGCGCCGAUAUCACUGAAAAGGCUUUCUCUCGGUAACGUCAGGAGGGAGUCGAUUCAAAACGCUUCGCAGGGAAAGAAGGAGAAGGACAAAGGGGGGCUGGAAAAAGUCGGCGAACAGAUAAAAAGGAAAUUUUCCCAAGAACACAAAAAGGAUCUUGGCACCCAACCAGAGCUCGUUCCUCCCUCUGCGAACCUGAAGGAAGAAAAAGCGUCCAAAAGGAAACUCAGUGAUAUCAUGAGAUCCAUUCGCCCAACUGGAUCCAAAGCAAACGGACAACAACCUUGAGCUUGGCAGGAAGACUAAAGAAAAGAUGUCAGCGAGGAGGCUGCAUGAGAGAGAGAUACACAAUGUUUUUAAUGGCAUCACAGAGUUACUGAGAAGUAGAUGAUCACAGCGAGACACAAAACACAACAUACAUCCAUAAAGGUUCCUUCCUAUUAACAUUUUCAUGUCAGUUUCACUUGAUACUUGCAUAAUCAGCUAAAACUUCAUGUUUUUUGUUCAGUUAUUCACGCUUAAUAACAAGGUAACAGACAUUUGUGGCGUCAUCCUGACAAACUUGUAUGUUUAAUUGUCUCUGACGGCAAAUCUGCACUACAUACUGUACAUUAGAUCUACUGUCAGAAUGUGAUCAUAAAUAAAGUUGUAGAUCACAAACUAUUUACAAUAUUGUGUCAUGUGUUAGUCCAGCACAGAGGCAGUUUACAUGAUACCAGCAGCACACACACACAAAAACACACACAACAAGAAUAGAGCCAAGAGGAAGGAACGGCUUGUAGCAUUAUCUGUCGUCUGUGAAUCAAAAACAGUUCAGAGGCUCUGAACUCAAACCCCAGUCGCCACUAAAGCCGUUAAAUUACAAGCCAGUGUGUUUGCUUUGAUAUUUAAGAGCAACAUCAAGAAAACAUCCACUUUGUGAGCGGCAGAAAUGACCCAACACACAUUAUUUUUUUACACUUGAAAACAUUGGGG